UCCUACGGGAGGCAGCAGUAGGGAAUCUUCCGCAAUGGACGAAAGUCUGACGGAGCAACGCCGCGUGAGUGAUGAAGGCUUUCGGGUCGUAAAACUCUGUUGUUAGGGAAGAACAAGUGCUAGUUGAAUAAGCUGGCACCUUGACGGUACCUAACCAGAAAGCCACGGCUAACUACGUGCCAGCAGCCGCGGUAAUACGUAGGUGGCAAGCGUUGUCCGGAAUUAUUGGGCGUAAAGCGCGCGCAGGUGGUUUCUUAAGUCUGAUGUGAAAGCCCACGGCUCAACCGUGGAGGGUCAUUGGAAACUGGGAGACUUGAGUGCAGAAGAGGAAAGUGGAAUUCCAUGUGUAGCGGUGAAAUGCGUAGAGAUAUGGAGGAACACCAGUGGCGAAGGCGACUUUCUGGUCUGUAACUGACACUGAGGCGUGAAAGCGUGGGGAGCAAACAGGAUUAGAUACCCUGGUAGUCCACGCCGUAAACGAUGAGUGCUAAGUGUUAGAGGGUUUCCGCCCUUUAGUGCUGAAGUUAACGCAUUAAGCACUCCGCCUGGGGAGUACGGCCGCAAGGCUGAAACUCAAAUGAAUUGACGGA
RNAcentral lists this ribosomal RNA (590 nucleotides) under uncultured bacterium. RNAcentral's name for it is "bacterial SSU rRNA". It matches the Rfam family "Bacterial small subunit ribosomal RNA", at positions 337 to 917 of the family's 1533-position model. The record is from RNAcentral.